CCCAGGCUUGUGUGCCUCAUCCAGUGUCAGGGACACUGGUGAUUGGUUGCCCUAUGUUUAUGAACUGAGACCUAGUUCUUAACCAAGUUACAAGAGGCCUGUCCUGAUAUUUGCCUGGCCCUCUCACAUAACUCCAGCUCAGGGGAUCAGAUUCCCUCUUCUGACUUCUAAGGAAGCCAGGCACAUGCAUAUGGUAAUAGACAUACAUGUGGGCAAAGCUCUCACAUGUAAAAUAAAAUAACUUUUUAAAAGUUUCACACAAGUGCUCAUAAGUGUGUUCACAGCACCAAACCAACCUGAAUAUUCACUGACUGCUACAAAUAUAUAUGCAUAUAUAUAUAUAUAUAUAUAUAUAUAUAUAUAUAUCAGGGAGUGAUGCAUGGGUGACACUCUGAAUCAUCAGUGACCUUGAAGACAUGGUGCUAUGUGGAUUAAGACAGGAAACAACACAUACCUCGCAUGAGUCCAUGUCGAUGAAAUGUCCAGCACAGACAAACAGAUAUAGAGAGCAGAUGGGUCCUGGCUAGAGACUAGAAGGCAGAGGGUUCUGGCUAGGGACUAGAAGGCAGUGAGGUAAUGGUGAGUGACUGACUGUGCACAGUUUUCUUGUGGAGUAUUGAAAUCAUCCUGGAAAAAGACAGCAUUGAUGGUUUAUGAUCUUAUAGACACAUUUGAUGAUACCACUAAGCUACACACUGAAAUUGACUCAAAUAUGUUUCAUGUAUAUUUUAUAUAAUAAAAAUGGAAAGUAUCAAUUCACUAAGAUGGAGCCUGUGAUUUUAGUUUCAUUUGUUUGUUUAUUUUUGAAAGUCUUAUAGAAUAGUCUAGGCUGGCUUCAAACUCAAGAACCUCCUUUCUGUGACGUUAAUGAAGUUUGUUUGUUUUAAUUUGGGACAAGGUCUUACUGUGUAGCCCGGAAUGACCUGGACCUUGUUCUAUAGACAAGCCUGGAGUUGAACUGAGAUCUGCCUGCUUCUGUCUUCCAAGAGCUGAAAUUAAAGGCCAUCACUUCCCUUUUGGCAAUGAUUGCAACCCAAACCAGGAAAGAGAAGCUGAAUUUGGGGAAACAAACAUCUGUUUUCAGGAAGUACUCGUGGAAAAGGACCCAGCCAUCUGCAGACCAUCGCUAUCAAGAUGGCAGGAGUUCCCAUGACAGCUUCUUGUUGAAAAGGACCUUUCAAGUCACAGGCUGCUUGUGCUCAACUGAUAAAAGUAUGUCUUGUAAUCCAUCCGGAUGAACAAUGCUGGCCCAAGUCUUCGAUGGUUGGAGUUCAUUGGAGUAGCAUACAAAUGUCGUGAGGACUUCUGAGACCCAGCCACGUUCUCAGGUUACCCCAAAGGCAACCAAACCACUGAAGUUACCCAUCGCUGCUGACUCCACAGGUCAUGUUCUUCCCAGUGUUAGUGGACCUAAAUACAAACAUGGAUGCAAGGAAAUGGAUCUGAAUCACUCAAGCUGGAGAAAGCACGGCUUACCGUGGGAACAGAAUCAAUUACCCUGGCUUGGAUUUUGAGCUAAAGGUUGAUGAUCUUUAGGACUUUUAUCGUAGCACCAGAAGGCUGGUCAACACAUAAAUAUUGGCUUCUGUCAUCAUUUUCAUCAUUCUCUCCCUCAUUUCUGAAAGAAAAGUCUUCUAAACGUUAUUGCCACUACCAGUUUUGCUGAAAAAAGAGGCUUCCUCUUCAGGGAAUAGCAGUCACUACAGAGGGCCAUCACUGGUGACUGUGAUGAGGAUACAGUCAAAUCUCUGCUACAAACUGACAUCGACCUCACAUGCUACCCACUAAGGUUCUAGGGCUGUCUACAAGGAAGUGUCAUAAAGAAUUCAAGUCAGAGGAGUAGUGUGGAAGGCUGACUGCAGGAAAAUAUGAAGCACGAACAGCCCUGAACUCAUUCAUGACAGCUGCGAUCACCUGCACAAGAGCUUUGGACCAGAAAAUAACCUGUCAUGGAGCACAAGGCGCUCACGAGGCCCUCCCCCUACUUCCUGAGGACUUAGACUCAGUUAAUGGGUGGUGUGGGGGGACACUGGGUAAACAGCCCUCACUCCUCCUGUAAGCAGCCCUAAUGUAACUCAUCCAAGAAACAAGAGACAUGAAAGUUCUAAAGGAAUGAGUUGGGAAAGGGAAGGAAGUAAGUGGAACCAAGAAUAAGAAAGAAUAGGAGAGGGUAACUGAGAGCAAAUAUGUUCAAAAUACAUUGCAUACAUAUAUGAAAAUUUCAUAAUGAAACCCAUUAUAUAAAAUUAAUAUUACCAGUUAAAAACAAGACAAAGUUAAUAACUACGCACUGUAGCUAAUAAUGGGAAAAAAUUCCACAGGAGAAAGAAAGUGCAGUUUCUGAGAAAAACGAUUGAAUGCAUAUAUUAAUGGAAGAGCAGAAUUCCUCAGCUACUCAUCACUGUGUGUCUGAGAGUCGUUGAGUUUGAAUUUUGCAGGCCUGGUAUUUGCUCUUUAAUAUGAGAACACAGGCAAAGGAAGAUGACUCCAUGGGUGUCUUUGUUUGCUUUCUGUUGCUGUGAUAAAACAAGGGGAGGAGAAAGUUUAUUCGGCGUACUCAUCUCAAUUACGGUCCAUCAUGAAGGGAGGUCAGCACAGACACUAAGGAAGGAGCCUGGAGGCAGGAACUGUUGCAGAGACCUGGAACGGAUGUUUGUUUGCUUGAUCCCCAUUGGCUUGUUCAGCUUGCUUUCUUAUGCAAUUCAGAACCACCUGCCUGAGAGUGCUGUUGCCUGUUAUGGGUUGGGCCCUCCCAUGCCAAUCAUCGAUGGAGAAAAUGUCCUAUACACUGACCUGCGUGCCAGUCUGAUGGAGGGGUUUUCUCUAUUGAGGUUCCCUCUUUCACACAGCUCUAGUGUGUGUCAAGUUGACAAAAAAAAUUAACCACAACAAUGGGUAAAGACAGUUGCCACUAAAACUGACAACACGAGUUCAAGGCCCAGAAUCCAUGUGACAGAAUGAGAGAACUGAUUUACACAAAUAGUCCUCUGACUUCCACAUGUACACGGUGGCAGACAAGCCUGUCUGUGGGUGCACACACAAAAAUAAAAUGUAAUAAUUUUUUUUAAGAAAGAA
Long non-coding RNA from Mesocricetus auratus (golden hamster), 3075 nucleotides. RefSeq lists it as uncharacterized. NCBI's taxonomy places the organism in Eukaryota, Metazoa, Chordata, Mammalia, Rodentia, Cricetidae. The record is from RefSeq and is a predicted model, not a curated record. The transcript has 6 exons.